Molecule: unclassified non-coding RNA, 3346 nt
Filed under: Penaeus chinensis
Lineage: Eukaryota; Metazoa; Arthropoda; Malacostraca; Decapoda; Penaeidae
Description: mRNA (2'-O-methyladenosine-N(6)-)-methyltransferase- like, transcript variant X2
Source: RNAcentral
GAUAAAUAAUUACCGUGGACGCGAGGAAGCCCAAGUCACAGCCAGCGUUGCGUCCCUGAACGAGCCUAGGGAACUGAUGGCGUCUUUCCGAUUGGGUGUGUGUCAAAAUUUCCACCGAAAUUCAUGACUUAAGUGCGUUAAUUCCAUUCAACACAAAGCGGGUGUGGAGUCAUGGCGUCGUCAUGGGAGAGCUUCAUUGCUGCCUCCACCUCGGCAGCCCCAGCACACACCAGCGUUGCAGCCACGCCCGCUGCAGCUGCUGCGUCACCCGGUGGGGGUCCCAUCAUUACGCCAGCAGCCACGUUGCCCCAGCAGAGUUAUAACCCCUCAGACCCUGCCCACCACCAGCCCCCACACCAUCCCCCUGUCACGCACUAUCAGCAACAGCCACAACACCUACACGUUGGACAGCCUCCGCACCAAGGGAUCAGGGUCAACAUUCCUUCCCAGGUAACCAUUGGGAGUAGUGGGCCAACGACACCAGUUCCGCAGACUCCUGUGGGAGGCCCUCCCCCGUUCGUUGCCCCUGUGCACGAGACGGAUCUUCCACAGGAAAUGCUGGUUGCUGGAUGGAGGAAAUUCUGGAGCAAAAGGGAACAGCGUGUGUACUUUUGGAAUCGCACCACAGGGGAGUCACUAUGGGACAUGCCACCAGGGCAUGCCUCUCAUGCUUCACAACCAUCUGGGCAGCAUCCUCCACCUCAGCAGCAGCAGUAUGAUCCUAUAAGUGAUCCGCUAGGGAUACAAAAUCCUACCAACGGAAGCAGUUCCAGUGCCAACAACUGUCAGAGUGGCAGUUCAGCAACCAACAGUAGCAGCCAUCCGGGAAGCAGCACCGCGGCCCAAGUCCCCUCCCCUGCUCCAUCAGUCAUAUCAGGAGUCAAGCGCCGAGCAUCUGAGGAGGCUUCUGGAGCUCCUGUACCUAAGAAAUUUGUUUUGGCAGGCCCAUGGGAUUUAGAAAUUCCAACCAAUGUCAUCAUGUUUGAGCGUCCGCCAAUCACCUUGCCACAACCGCAUCCCAGUGUAGAAGUUCUGCGGGGACAGCUCGUGUCAAAGUUACGCUCAGGAUACCAGGAAAUGUGUCUGGCGAGACAAGGCAUUGAUGCGCCAAGAGAUUCCUUUAGUCGGUGGUUGAUGGAACGGAAGGUGGUUGAUCAAGGAUGGGAUCCACUACUUCCCAGUCAGUGUUUUCCUGAAGUUAGCCAGUCCAUGUAUAGAGAAAUCAUGAAUGACAUCCCAAUUAAACUGCAGCGGCCAAAGUACACAGGUGAAGCCAGGAAACAGCUCUCUAAAUAUGCAGAAGCAGCGAAAAGAAUGAUUGAGACGAGCCGGAAUGCAAGUCAAGAAAGCAGAAAAAUUGUUAAAUGGAAUGUGGAAGACACUUUUCAAUGGUUGCGGAGAACAAUUGGUGCCACUUUUGAUGACUACAUGGAAAGACUGGCACAUCUCAAGAGACAAUGUCAACCUCAUCUCACUGAGGCAGCCAAGCAGAGUGUGGAAGGCAUCUGCACAAAGAUCUACAACCUGUCUAUGGAACAUGCCAAAAAAAUUAGAGAGAAACACCUGCAGAUUUUGGAGGAAAACAAUAUCAGAGAAGUGGGAGUGCCAGCUGUCAGUGGGUUGCGGAAAGUUUGGUGUUACCCGGUACAAUUCACAACACCUAGUCCUCGGCCGCCUCCGAUAGACUUUAUGCAAGACAAAGAUACAACCUGUUUAAGAUAUAAUGGAGAAGCUCUUAGAAUCAACACACAGUACUUUCAUAAAUUGGAGCAGUUAUAUCGUUACAACUGUUUUGAUGACCGCAAAUUUGAAUUAUUUUUGCCUAGAGUAUGGUGUUUAUUGAAAAGAUACCAAACCCUCCUCGGGACCAGCCCUAACGAGGGCCAUGGGACACAAGCAGGACUACCAGUGACAGUUCUGGAGUGCCUACACAAACACUUUGGUGUUACGUUUGAGUGCUUUGCAUCUCCACUGAACUGUUAUUUCAGACAAUUCUGUUCUGCUUUCCCAGAUACAGACUCUUACUUUGGAUCAAGAGGACCAAUUUUAGACUUCAAACCAGUUUGCGGUUCCUUUGAGGCCAACCCUCCCUUCUGUGAAGAACUAAUGGAAGCAACUGUGCGUCACUUCGAGAAACUGUUGUCGGAGUCACAUGAACCGCUCUCCUUCAUUGUGUUUGUACCAGAGUGGAGGGAACCAGCUCCCUCCGCUCUCCUGCACUUGGAAGCCUCCAGAUUUAACAGAAAGCAAGUUGUUCUACUUCCACUUGAACAUGAAUACAGACAUGGUUUCCAACACUUCAUGUCAAAGGCUGAGGUAGUGUUGAAGAGUGCCCACGGAACAGUUGCUGUCUGGCUUCAGAAUGAUGCCGGAUUUUCACGCUGGGGCCCUACCCCAGACAGAGUUGAUGCCCUAUUAGAAGCCUACAGACCGGGCCGUGAGCGGGACCGUGACCGCCAGGAGAUGCUUUCCCCACCGCGGAGGGACUCGAGUGCUGAAGCUCCUCCUCCCUAUGUUGAUGUAAAAGCUGCCGGAAGCUCUCCACUAGCCCCUCCCACAGCCCCGUCAACUGCUGUUCCCUCUGCCAUCUUAACCACCUCCCCUUCCCCAGCUGUGCCUCCCAUUGCUCCAACGAGCCCUGCUACAACCACCACCAUCUAGAAAUCAUGGACCAACAGCAGUCACAGUCGAAAACGCUCGGCCAAAAGGAACACAAAGUCCCAUGUACAGAUUUAUUCUCCUUCGUCGGCUCCUUUUUCGUCUGGGAAAAUGUUGCUUGAAAUAAAGUGACAUGGAUGAUUGAUAAAGGAAAGCUGCAAGUGGAGGAGUUUCAGUUGAAAUCUGUUUGUCUGGAUAUGAUAAAAAGAAAAGAAACGGAGAACAGAGAGACUAAAAAAACACAGAGAAUAUAUAAAACUGUAAUAUUAUCCAAAUGAGGAAAUUAAUAAUGUCUUAUAAGGAAUAGCAUUGUACAAAACCUUAGAUCCUUGACUCGAAUCCUGCUCUUACAAAGUCAACGCUUCAGAGGAAAACUUAAAACAGCGAUGUAUUUACCUAGAAUGUUACAUCUAGUGCCAUAGAUCUAAUAGUUUUGUGUCUCUAGAACAGAUGCAUGUAUCUUGGAAGUUAAUAUGAGUUUUGUAUGUUAUUAUACUAUUUAAAAUAUUGAGGGCAUCCCGUUCCUCUCUCUGCCAAUUUGAACUAUGAACUCCUGGGUGUGAACAUCUUAUGGAUGUGAAUGUUUAAGAAAAUUAUUCUUAUACUGUAAAAAAGAAACUCUUAUCUCACUCCAUUAGCGUUGUAAUUUAUGUCUGCAAAAGCAAAAUAAAAUAGAUUUUGAUACAUU